Molecule: long non-coding RNA, 3035 nt
Organism: Rhineura floridana
Lineage: Eukaryota; Metazoa; Chordata; Lepidosauria; Squamata; Rhineuridae
Exons: 3
Source: RefSeq, a predicted model, not a curated record
CGGCUGGAUACUGAAGUUCGGGGGCGUGGUUCGGGACCCGCCUACGCUUCCUGCUGCCGAGCGUCCCCAGUCCGGCGCCCGUGUGCGCUCCGCGUCCUGCCCCGCUCGCUGCCGCAGAGUGAGCCCCCCGGGUGCCCCCCGCCCCCCUCGCUUCUCCCACGCGGCCCCGCCAGCGCAGCUGCCUCCGUCUGUGCCCGCGCCGCUGCCCGGGCGAAGGGGCCUCCACGGGCCGGCCUCGCCCUCAUGGCUCGUGAGGAGGGACCCGGCCUCCCCCGACCCUUCCCUUCCUCCCUCCCCCGGGCCCAGCUGGAGGCUGCCCAUCUCGGCUGGGCGUGGGGAGGCGCCCUCGCGGCGAGGGGUCCCGCGCCUUGAAGAGCGGGGCGCUCCUGGGGCUUGUUGCCAGCGCCAGGCUGCUUGCCUGGGGCAGGUUCCCCGCGGAGCCCCGCGUCUCCUCCACCAAAGAGGGCCCCCUCCGCCGGUGCUGGGUCCCGCGCCCUCCCUGCACCGGCCUCCCCGAGCCUCGCCUGCCCAGUGAGGCAGACCCACGGAGGACCCGAAGCGAGGCCUCUUCCCGAGGCCCGCAGAAGACGGGGCUGGAGUCGUGAUGCCGGCCGCCCACUUCGCACGGAGGGGGAUGAAGACCCCCUACACGGACGUACCGCCCUGACCUGGGCAGAAAGCCCCCCACCCCCGGGGUCACAAGCAUGUGGGCUCCGAGGCUGCCCGCACGCUGGUUCCUUAGGAAGCGGCCAAAACCAUUUCGUCUGGAUGCGGUUUGAAACAAAUCUGCACCCGGCUGUACACAUGAAACUACUCACUCACUGAUUCGUUUGUUAAAAUCGUAUUGACUCCGUGUGGGCACCAGUGGGCUGCGCAGGGCAGUGAUGUCUUGACCGCUGGGUUGCUCAGCCAAACAGUUUUGGAGUGAUGCUGGCUUGAAGGGAAAGCACCCCAGCUUGAAAGCCCCGGAGUAAAAAGGGCAGCGUUUGACGGACUCACAGAUCCGAAGUGCAGGCGCAGAGAAACCAGUGCUACUGCAAGUGUGUCCAUCGCCUGAGUGUCUGUUAGCAUCUCACCCCCCCCCCGAUGGGGAUGGGGAAUGUUGAGCCCAAUGCUCCAUGUGAUGAUCCUGUAUUCGUGUAAAUAGGAGGAAUGCACCGAGGGUGAGCAUGCCUGAACUUUGCCUGGUGAUGCUUCCUCAUGUUUCUCUACGGCCACCAACUUGGAGAGCUUUCAAGAGGACUGGAAAGAUUUGUGGAGGCACUUCCCAGGAGGAUCGCUCCGUCUGUGCUGCCUCUGGGACGGGCUCCCGUCUUGGUGGAAACUUUUUCAGUUUUAAAACCAGUCAGAAGGGCUUUUUGACUGGGGAAAAUUUCUCCCGGAUAAGGAAGAAACGUAGAGAUUUCCCACAGAGCUUUGUUGUGUUUGUUGGAGGCUGGAAUUCUGUGAAAGAAGGUCUUCCAGCAGCUCGGAUGGAGCUAGGAUUUCCAACCAGCUCAACUGAUUAAGUGAGCCAUUUUUUUUUCUUCAAAGAAAAACGGAUUAACAGGCAAGCAUUCUCCUGUCUUUUCUCAUUAUUUUGUUAUCAAUACAGCUAAAGAGAUUUGUCAAAGAACCAGCAAUUAAGAAACCCUGGGUGAGUCAUAGCUUUCUCUUUUAUUCACGGAGCUAAGGGGAAGAAAAUAGAAAUAGUUUAUCUUUAUUUUUAUUGCAAAAAGCUGGCAUGGAAUUCAGCAUUAUAAAGAUUACAAAUGGCUGAGGGGUUUCUAAUUUAAAGAGAAAAUUUUUUUUUGAUUUAUAAGACUUUUGAGUAAUAUAUGUCUGGGACUAUUUUCCGGUUUACUUUUUUUUUUUGACGAAUCUGCUCAUUCUUCCUGCUACUAAUUAUUUGGAUGCUGUGAAUUAAAGUUGUUUUGGCACUUUUGGACAUACAAGAGAUAAGGCAGUUCGUCUUGUCUAGAGGGUGACGUCAGCUGGCUUGAAAGAUUAACUCCUUUGUAACUGGAUAAAGAAAUAAACUGUUCUUUGCUUGGGACAUUGGAAAUUGAAGGGAUUGUGUUUUUUUUGGUUUUAAGAAUGACAAUCAAGAAGGUGGUUGAGAUCAUGGAUGUACAAGAAGGGACUUUCUCUUUAGAUAUGUUUCAGAAAAUAAUGAAUGAGAUUAAGCUAACAAAACAAGAACGCAGACAUAACAGACAAGUGAUGAUAAGUGAAUUUGGCGAAAUGAGACAGGAGCUGAAAGAAAUUCAGGAUUCUAUGAGAAAGGAGAACAAAGAUAAAUUUGGAAAAUUAAAAAAGGAUGAAAGAAAAAUUAAAGGGAAGGUUCAAGCCCUGGAGAUUAGAUUAAAUAUGGUCUUGGAAAAAGAUUUGGAUUUCCUGGCUGUGAUGGAUCCUGGAGACAAAUAUUACUGUUUGGAAUUCAGCGCUGUCCCUGAAGGAAUUGGUGAAGAGAUUGGAGAUAAAGAUAUAAUCGGUUCGAAAAAAUUCAUGGACUGGAAGGAUUUGAUGGAACUUGAAAUGGAGAAAGUUUACAGAAUUAAUUCCUGUUUUGUGACAAUGACUUCAAGAGAUGUGCUAGUGCAUUCUGUAAAAAAGAGGAACAGAGAUGCGGUUCUGCAACAAUACUUCAGUGAUACGUUCGGAAAUGAUGGCAAGAAAACAUUUGUGAUGAAGGAAAUCCCUAUCAGACUCUUAUUAUAUGACUAUGACAGCAAGAUUAUUGGGUGCGUAAAGAUGGAAGAUGGAAUCAACACGGAUAAAGGAAGAAGAGCGAUUUGAAAUUACUGGAUUUAAUAGACUUGAAGAGUUGGAUUAAUUGACAUGUCUAUCUAGAAAAAAAUUGAUGGACAUAUAUCUCAAGGAUUGGAAACUUCUCUUUGACUUUUUGUAGAAGAAUAAAAUAUGAUGUUAAUGAGAUUUGAUACCAACUAAGAUAACUGCUGGAGGAAGGUGAUUUUAUAAUUUAUCAAGAGACAGGUUUGUUAUAUAUUAUAGACCUAUAGCUGAACUAUGACAGAUCAGAAGUCAAUAGUUUC